AGGCCUAACACAUGCAAGUCGAGCGCCGUAGCAAUACGGAGCGGCAGACGGGAGAGUAACACGUGGGAACGUGCCCUUCAGUUCGGAACAACCCAGGGAAACUUGGGCUAAUACCGGAUGCGUCCGUAAGGAGAAAGAUUUAUCGCUGAAGGAUCGGCCCGCGUCUGAUUAGCUUGUUGGUGAGGUAACGGCUCACCAAGGCGACGAUCAGUAGCUGGUCUGAGAGGAUGAUCAGCCUCACUGGGACUGAGACACGGCCCAG
This 262-nucleotide ribosomal RNA is filed under the name uncultured bacterium. Its description in RNAcentral is "partial 16S ribosomal RNA". It matches the Rfam family "Bacterial small subunit ribosomal RNA", at positions 46 to 334 of the family's 1533-position model. The record is from RNAcentral.